This 478-nucleotide unclassified non-coding RNA is filed under the name Hevea brasiliensis (rubber tree). The record is from RNAcentral. Lineage: Eukaryota; Viridiplantae; Streptophyta; Magnoliopsida; Malpighiales; Euphorbiaceae.
UUUGAGGGAGUGCCUAAAGUUCCAAGCUUAUCCUGCAUAAGUGUGUUAUUCAAAAUAAUCUUGAUGUUGCCUGAACGGGUGAUUAAAGUACUAACUAAAGGUGAUUGUCAAAUAAACUGGAGGUGGGUUAAAGGUAUUAUUAAUGGUACUCCAUAUCCUUUUCCUAAUUUGCUUAACUUACACAUUAUCUUGAUCAUGUUUUUGGUGUGUUGUAUGCGGAUAUUUUGUGAUUCUAGUGAAGUUAAAACUUAGCAAUUCAUUCGCUACCAUACCAGUUAUCAAGUAUUAGAGUCAUGUUACAAUUGACUGCAUACAUAAGGAUGUGAGAUUUGUUAUAUUAGCUUCUUAAGAUAAUUCAUUUAGAGACUCUUGCUUUGCCAUUCUUAUGACUGGCUAUUUUUUUUUUUUCCUUUUCUUUUUAUAUUUUUUCUCUUGUGGCUAUUCUUCUGUGUUCGUUGUACCUUCAAUUUGAAGAAAA